AGGUAAUUUGUUGACUAGAUAAAAUGCAGUGGAGAAAGCCUCAACCCAAAAUUUAUGAGGAACUUUAGAGGCAGCAAGCAAUGUUCUAGUGGUCUCAGUUAAAUACCUAUAUUUCCUUUCAACACACCCAUUUUGCUCCGGUGUAUGAGAGCAGCUAAAUUGAUGUAGAAUACCAUGUUGAAGAAUAAAUGAAUUAAACUGAGAACUUAUGAACUCUCCCCCAGAAUCAGAAUGUAGAAUUUUUAUUUGAUUUCCAGUCAACUUCUCAACAUAGGAUUUAAAGUAUACAAAUAUGGAGAAGACCUCAGACUUUGACUUCAAAGGAAAAAACCAAUUUUAUUUUGUAAACUCAUCAACAAACAAGACAUAGAAUCGAUAUCCACUAACAAAAGAGAUGGGAGCAGGGCCCCAAACAUCACAAUGGACAAGUUUGAGACUAUGAGUAGUACUACUAGUGCUUACAGAGAAUGGCAAUUUGUGAUUUUUUCCAUUUGCACAAUCCUGACAAAAGAACUUUACAAACUGUUUACCAGUAUAAGCAAGUUUAUUUCUACAUAAGAUCUUCUUGAAAAUUGCAGAAGAGGGAUGACCAAAUCUCUUAUACCAAAGUUGUAAUGAUGUUGGAGUACCAACAUUAGCAUAGGAAGAUGUAGAUACUGGAUCACUGAUAGUAACAUGGGAAGUGCCUUGUACUGGAUAAAAACCAGAGCUAUCUGGCCCUGAAAAUGCAUAUUCCCCGUAGAACGAUCCUUGAUUGUGGAACCAUCAGAAUCAAGGAUUAAUUUGCAGUAAUUAUCCUUUAAAAAUUGAUAGGCAAAAAGAAGAUUAAACUUCAUUUGAGGAACAUGAAGAACAUUAUUCAACUUAAAUGCAGCAACUGAAGUUUUAAGAACAGAAGUACCAGUGUGGUGAAUAGGCAUACCUUGACCAUCACAGAUAUAAACCUUGUCUUCACCAUUAUAAGCCAUAGGAGAAUGAAUGGUAGAGAUAUCAUUCGUGAUAUGGGAGGUAGCGCCAGAGUCCAAAAUCCAAGUGGGAGAAGAAGACUUAGCAGUGGUAUGAGCACACAUUGCUGCCAAUUUUGCCAGUGGAGUUUUUCCAGCAAAUGCAUGAUUCAUGCGGUCAAAGCAAUCAAUAGCUUCAUGGUCCAGAGAGUGAUAGAUUUGACAGGGAACUCAACCACCAGAGUGCUGGCGAUAACCUCCUGAAGAACGGUUUUGAUUGUAAGAGUUGCCUCGAUAAUUGUUGAAAUUGCGAUUGUUGCCACGAUUGUUACUACAGUAAUUUUUGGAGAUAGAAUACGGUGCAGCAAAGGCUUGUGGAAAAGCAUUGAAUUGUGGCGUUGGAAGAAGAGGAGCAUGAGAGUGCUGAGACUAAGCAACAAAGGCUUGAAAAGGUUCUAUAAUUGCUGCAACAACAAAUUUCUUCUUUCGAUUCAUAAAAAGUUCUUUGUUGAUCAACAGGCCAUGAAGUUCAUCAAGAGAUGUGGAGGAAAUUCGCAGCAUGAUAGAGUCAAUAAAUGACUCGUACUUGUCAGAGAGACCAUUGAGUGUAACUACAAUGAUAUCAUGAUCGGAAAUUGGCAUGCCGGCAACCAUUAUAACGUCUGAGAUACUCUUAAUUUGCUGAAGGUAUUCAGAUAUUGCAAGAUCACCUUUCUUAACCGAGUGAAGAUGAGUGCGGAGCUGGUAAAUGUGUGCAACUGAAACUCCACCAAAACGUUGUUCAAGAUUCAACCAAAGUUUUCAAGAAAAGGAGACUCCAACGAUGAAAGGUAUGAUUUCUUCAGAAAUAGUCGAAUUCAAUCAGAUGAGGAUGUUUUGAUCCUUCUCAUACCAAGCUUCAAAAGCUGGAUUCGGAACACCAGUGCUUUGGCAAAGGAUAUCAAGCAUAUAUGGCGGUGGACAUGCUUCAGUGCCAUCAAGAAUUCCAAUAAGCUUGUACCGGCGAAAAAUUGGAGCAAAAAGCAUCUUCCAGAUGAGAUAAUUAUCUCGUUUAAGCUUUGUUCGAACCAUACAACUGAUAUUCUAGACUGUAAUAGAAGAAUUGAUGAAAUUGGGGGAUUAGGGUUAGGGUUCAUCAGAGAAGAAUUGGGGGCGAGAAUGUCAGGAUUCAUCUAAGACGAAGUUGAAGAUGUCAUCGGAGAAGCAGAGAUCAAAGAUCAAGAAGAACAGAGAUUAGAGAGCAAGAAUUGAAAGAAAAUCGAUCAAGAUUUGUAGGUCGGUGAAGUUACGAAUCAUAGGAUGUUGGUGAGGAUCGCGAAGAGGCGGUUGAUACCAUAUGACAUUUAUGAACUGUUAUGUUUUCAUUGAAUGAAAGAAUGUUUACAAUUGAGUAUAUAUACAUCUGUAAAUAAUGAUUAGCACCUAAUCAAGUGUAACUAAUUACAUUAAGACAAAAUUAGUUACACAAAACAAACAGAAAACUAUUAUGCUGAGUUGGAAUGUGUGUUAAUAUGUUGCACGUGUCUGUUUAAUCCCUGAAAAAGAGUUGAUUUUAGCUUUCCGGAGUUGAAUAAUUAAGCACUGUAUCAGUUUAAGAAUUGAGGAUAAUGCUUUCUUCUUGUUCUUGUUGUUAUAUGCAGGGCUUCUUGAAUUGUUCAUUUCUGUUUAUCACUAAAAGAGAGUGGCAAAGACACCUGCUUGAGAAAUGAUGUCGUCUGAUAGGGAAGAUAGAAGGUUCAAUUCAGAGUGUAAAAGAGCGGAUUCUGUAAAAGAGAAGUCGAUAUUGGAAGUUAUGGAGAAGCUCUCACUCUCAGAUGCAAAAAUGGAGCCACUGCAUCCAAACAUUGAUUUCCAGAUUACACAUGCCGAUGGGAGAUUAUGCUUUAGGAACAAUGGCGAAGUGUUAUUGAUGCUUAUUGGAGGAGACCUUCACUGUUUCGGUAGUAUCAUCAAAAUAUCAAAGCAUGAACUAGUUUCCCUAGAACUUGUAAACAAAGAAUUGAAAAAUCUUGGGAUUUCUCGAUAUCAAUAUUGCUCUGUCGAUUCUUAUGACGAGAGCCUCUUCUUACUCAACGAGACCAAGGCAGUUUCUUACUAAGAAAAAGAGCAGGUACUUGCUCUUUGCCUACGAAUAGGACUUCAUGUCGAAUUCCACUGCGUUCUUCAUGUUUUUUCUGUUUUCCUGUUUUGUUUACGUGAUUGUCUACCUGCUUUUGUUUUCUUUUGUUGCACAUCAUUCAAAAGCUGAUUUAAUUUUUGAAUUUUGCAUGCAAAUUUUAAUCAGAAAUUCUGGUGUAUUUUGUUGAGUAGUUCUAUGACUGCCGUAAACUUUGAAUGAAACUAUGCGUGAAUCUGGUUACAAAUUUCGAUUGCCGGUGGCGCUUGAAAGUUGCACCUGUUUCUGUGAAAUUAUCUACCAAGUGCUCGUCAUUUUCUUGUUUAUUUUCAUAGUAAAUUUCCGUGAGGUCAACGAUUAGCAGUAUUGCAGAUUGGCAAAGUUUGGUAUUUGUAGGUGAUUUGCGUCCGAAACCUAAAUCAAUGUACUAAAUUUCUGUUGGUCAAUAGUCAGUACGAUUAUCACUUUGAUGUCUAUAGCUUGAUCCAUAUUGAAAUUUGUACGAUUAUUAGAUAGUAUGUGACUGUUGACAUAAUGUUGUAUUGCAUAAGCAUAAACACUCGCGCAGUCAAGAAAAACAUGAUGCAUGAGUUGUGUGAAGUGUUGAGUUGUGAAUAUAUUCAGAAGACAUAGAAGGCUUUGGAUAUAUAAUCUGAAAAUUUGUAUAUGUUCGCUAGACGUUGGAGGAAAGACUUGAAUAAAUUUGGGUGUUGAGAAAAGGCCUAUAUGACAAGUGAAAAUUGAGAAUUAAAUUGAAAUUUGUGAUCAAGGGAUAGAUGGGUGCUAACUCAUAUCCUAUAGUAUUCAAAGUUAAGUGGUAUAAGUAUGGUAUAAGACGUGCAAGCCAACUUGGGUGCCCUAGGUAAGUGUUAGCGAAAUUAGAAGGGAGUAAGAAUACAUUCAUGCAUCUCAUUUGUAUAAUUAUAAUGAAUUUGUGAGAUUAUAUAUUUUAAUUCUUAUUAGGUGAAUGCCUACUUCAUCGGUGGACUCAAGCGUUUAUUAUACUACGAUUUGUAACAAAUAAAUCCAUUUAAUUUUUUCUAAUCUUGUCUUGGUUGUAGAUCCAUUUUCUAUAGCGAAGCCCUUAACUCGUUAAUAGUAAUUACUAGCAAGACUACCCGCGCGAUGCUGCGGUGCUACGUCUUGCUCCUGUACAACCUUAUCUACAAAAGGAACAAUGAGCAGCGUUGAACUUAAUUCCAUCAUCAAUGCCUUGAACUUGUAGGAUCAAAAUUAAUAUAUAUACUAACAUAGACCCUAAAAUUUCUAUCAUAGCGAAAAAUAUUAACAUUGGGAAAAGGCAAAGAGAGGAAUUCUCAAAAGAAAACUGAGAGUAUGGAUCAUAUUGCAUGGAAAUCACAAACAGCAACCACAUCAAAAAUGAAGAAUAACAAUUGAAAAGGAAAAUAAUAAUCGAACCAUAACUGAAAUAGCUAUCUGGCUUUGAAUAUUACAAUUAUGAAGCAACUCUUAUAGGAUGAGUGAGUAGAACUUACAACGUAGUUAGGAGUUACAAUGCAGUUAGGAGUGUUCCAUCUCGCUAUCAAUUUGCUAAACCAAGAUCAUCUAUACCAAAUGACAACAUUUUAAUCCUUCAAACUGCUCCUGGAAAAAAAAGUAAAUUAAAUGCGGGAAUCUAUACCUUAAGACAACGGAAAAAGUAGAUUAAAGCUGAAAAGUAUCAAACUUUACAACUUUCUCCAAAAGCAUAUAUCACUACAAAAGUAUCAAUGUUUCGCAUUAAUCAUAAACUAUGCAAAAUUAUUUCAUAUUUUCCAAUGAAUUUGAAACCCUGAAAUUGUCAUAUUUGGACAUUCUUUACUCGAAAUUUAUUCAAGAAGCACUUGUCAAAUGUUCGACACAAUUUAGGAAUUCAAACAAAAUCCACAGUGCAAUGAUCACAAUCGUCGAGACCAACAUUUGAAAAAUGUAGAUAAAUUCACUAAUAAGGCGUAUCAUAAAAAAUCCAUUGAGAUUGAGAUUACAGUAAAUUGAAAACAUUCUUAUUAAAAUAGCGUAAGUCACAAAACGCACAAUCAAAACAACAACAACAUAGAUUACUUUAAACUUGCAGAGACUCCAAAGGAAUACUGAACUCAGCUACAUCAUUAAAAAAAAUUGAAUAAUGGUAAAAAAAAAAGGAUCCAUCAGGAAAAAAAUUCUGACAUGAAAUUUAAUCAACAGAUGAAAUUCUUAAGUUACCCAAUUAGACCAACCAAGAAGAACCAGUCGUUAAUCAAGAAUUCACCAAAUAAAACAAUGCAAGAAUUGACCAAAUAAAUGAUGAAAAAGUGGAAGCUAAAUGCAUCCCUUUGUACUUCUUUUUAUCUCCUCAUCUUCCUAUUUGUAUAGUCCAAAAAGCUGAAAUCAGAAUUGCUUCAAAUAAUUUGCCAGAUUUUACAAUUCGAAUGUGCUCACAGAUACUAAGAUCAUAAUUUAACCAUUCUAUAUCACUGCGUAUCAUUUCUUUGUCAGUUUUUUUAUUUUUAUUUUUUAUAAAUCAAAUCUAAAAACCAAUCUCAAUGGAAAAAAUAAAAAACAACACUUCUUAUCUCUAUACGUAAUUUAAUCCGUACAGUCCAACGACUAAUCAAAUGAUCAAACAAAGCAAAAAAACUAAACUGAUCACAGAAUUUAAUCAGCAGAGCAAAGUCAGUGACAGUGAAUUUUUAAAUCACAUGUGCUCAAAGAUAACUAAUGACCUUGGUAUUUGCAAAUUGCGGAUAAACUGAUCUGGAAACAGAAGUUGUAGUAUUAGUUUUGUAACCUGCAAGUGAACAACAAUCUGUCAGGCCAAUACUAUUAUGUUUUUGCAUUAAUCCACAUGAAUAAGACAGACUGCAAUGCAUAGGUUUAACAAAUCAAACAUACAUCUAACCCACCUGAGAUAAAACUCAAACAUGUAAAAACAAUUUGUGUCUUUCAAGGUAGCCAAUAUAUGGAUUUAUCCAUUGACAUUGAGUUUAAGACGGAAGAGAUUUUUGAACUGUGAAAAAGGAAUAACACCAAUUGAUAUGACAACCAACACAAUCAGAAAAAACUCUGUGAGAAUGUCAAUUUAUAAAUCACAUGUACUCACAGAUAAAUAACGAUCUUGGUAUUUGUGAAUUAAGGAUAAGCUGAUUUGGAAUCACAAUUUGUAACAUUAGUCUUCAGACCUGUAAGUGAGCAACAAUUUGUCAGAGCAAUACCAUUUUGUUUUUCCACUAAUCCACAUGAAUAAGACAAAUGCAGAUACACAGGUUUAACAAAUCAAACAGACAUCUAACCCAUAUGAGAUAAAACCCAAACAUGUCAAAAAAAUUUGUGCCUUUCAACGCAGUCAACACAUGGAUUUGUUCUUUGACAUUUAGUUUAAUGAACCAUUGCUCUUUACCACAUGGCUGCAAUUUUUAUAUACAAACAUUAGUCUUUUGACACACAUUUUCAAGAUUGUCUGCACGUUCAGCAAAAGCACAUAGGCUUCCAAAAUUCCAACGACCCUUUAAUUUAUUCUCAAAAAUUCCAAAUCCAUUUUAAUCCAUACUGGAAAAAAGCAUAACCAUAAAAAACGCACCCAAAUAAUUUUAAAACAACUGCACUCACACAAUUUAUACCACCAAGAACAUAAAAAAAAAAAUUAAAUCACAAUCUAAACUAAUGUUUCCUCUCCUCCUCUCUGUGUUUGUAACCCCAGCAUAAAACCCAGAAAAAACAAACCUUCACACAACCUCAACAACUCCUCCCAUAUUUUCCCCAAAAACUACGACUCCAUUUAAAUCCAAUAAUUAUCAAUCCAUGUCCGAACCGAAAAAAAAUAGAAGCGCAAAAAACAUACCCAAAAAAUUACAGCAGCAUUGCAUAUGCCAUCCGAGAUUUGCCAACCGAAGAACGAAAAUGCAAAAUUCUCUUUUAACAGGGAAAACCCAAGAGAGCACCACAACUGGCAAUAAAAGGAAACGAUUAAGGUUUCAUUGAAACAAAGGAAAAAUAAAAAAUAAAAACCGAAAGAAAAUGAUUAUAAAAUAUACCUUGGCUGAAUCACACUUGUUCCACAGUGGGGUGGAAAGACGCCACCCCUGAAAAGGGCUGGAAAUCGGCCAAAAUCAUAGCCACAACCCAGAAAUCCAAAACGGAAAAAAGGGGCAAACAUCAGGAAUUCAUUACCCUGGAUCAGAGAUGUCGAAACCCUCGGAACGCAAAAAAACCCCAAGUGUAAAUAGACGCAUAACGGCCCGGCAACCACAAAGUCCCUUAAACCACAAAAAUCAGCAAACCUUUCUGCGAAACAAAGAACGGAGACCACAUAGAAGUAGAGGAUUGGAAGAAAGAACGGGCAAAACGAAAAGACCAAAGCCGAAAUCAGGAAAGGCAACGAAGGAACAAAACCCUAACUCGUUAAGAAGACUCUCGAAGUCGAGAGAAUAAGGAUGACCGACACGUGGAAAACAGGGGCAAAAACGUCUCUCCGGCGCAUGAAGCAAGCGAGACAAACGGAAAGAAAACAGAGAAGCAAGGGCAUUUCCGUCCGGACAUUAUUAAUGAAUAGUGCCGUUUCCAACCCAGUUUUAGUAUAUAUAAUUUGCGAGCCGGGCCUAAUUAACAUUGCCGCAAUUAUAUAAAAACCUAUUUUAUGAGAAAAAUGUAUACUUCCGUAUCCUACUAGUAGAUUGUUUUAUUAUCAAAAACUGAAUCCGGUUAGUAGUACUACUCAUUUUAUGAAACAAUGUGUAUAUAUUAUUUCCUACUACUAAUACUAAGUGGAAUUUGGAAACCUAUUCCGAACCGGACUAGGAGAAAGCAAGUUGAUCUAUAUAUAUGCAAGGUCGCGUCGAGUCUUUCACUCAAACAAAUUUCAGUCAAUCACUCUCGAUUUGUCCUACCUUUUCUAUUUCUUUAGCCAUGGCUCUGCGAAAUACUGCUGCACUAAUUUUCUUCGUGAUGAUGGUGCUUUCUGGUGUUUGUUUAGGUGAUGUUUAUAGAGUUGGCGAUUCUGAUGGGUGGACAUCUCGAGGUCUCGUUGAUUACAACAAGUGGGCUUCAACAAAAGAGUUUCAUGUCGGCGAUACUCUUAUAUUCGCUUACAAUAGUCAAUACCACAACUUGAUGCAAGUUACCAAGCAAGAUUUUGAAUCUUGCAAUACUACCGCUGCGAUCACAGUUUAUACCUCUGGUUCCGAUACCAUCACCCUUAGAAGGCCCGACCACUAUUACUUUCUUUGUGGUGCUCCAGGCCACUGUCAAGCGGGACAAAAGGUUGAUAUCAAGGUUACACUUCCUAUACCGCAGAGUUCGCUGGCAAGUCCUAACCCGGCACCUCAGGAAUCUUUGCCUUCAGAUUCUCAUCCAAACUCAAAUCCAAGCAGUGCCCCGACUAUUUAUUUUUCGAAGCUUGGGUUGGCCGUUACCACUCUUGUGCUAUGUCUUUUGAGUGUUGUAUUUUAGAGACAUUUUGUUGUUCUUUUAUUUUUUAUAACGAAGAUUGCUUUGUUGUUUAUGAUUUGGGUGGAUAAACAUUGUAAAUUUUUUUUUUUUUAAGAUUAAAUAAAUGUGUUGUUAUGGAUGAAUAAUUACUCGUUUCCGAGUAAUUAUAUUAUGAAAGGUUUGUCUUGUGCUUUCCGAAAAUCGUGUCGAUCCAUGGCAUAAGGCUUGUGAAGAUUAUAUGACACUCCAUAUAUGAUAUAUGAAUUUGCUCUUUAGAUGGAAUAGAAGUCUCAAAGUUUUAAUAUUUUAUAUGAUAAGAAGAAAUUAAGUAGUGUGAUUUUAGUUAUAUUGUAUAGAUAUUGUUCUCAACUUAUACAAUUUGUGAAAUUCAAUUAUGAUCAUUUAGAAAGAAAAAAUUUAUACACAUUUGACCUUGUUUUAGUGAGCUUACAUAAUGAUUUCUAACAAUCGUGUCGAUCCACAGCAUAAGGCUUGUCAUUGUCAAUAUUAUGUAUGACAAUCCAUAUAUGAAUUUGCUCUUUAGGAGGAAUAGAAGUCUCAAAGUUUUAAUAUUUUAUGUGAUAAGAAGAAAUUAAGUAGCGUGAUUUUAGUUAUGUUUUAUUGAUAUUGUUUGUAGCUUUUACAUAGUUCGUGUAAUUCAAUUAUUAACGUAGAAAGAAAAAAUUAUACACAUCUAAACCGUAGACUUAUUAGGCACUACGAUAGGAAAGGGUUGUUCAGUGUGAAAAGCGCAUAUCAUAAUGCCAGGGACUGGGUUCAAUCUCGCAGGGAUGCGCCAUCUUCGUUCGCUGUCUCCAAUCCUUUUGGGGCGUUGUGGAAAAAACUAUGGGCUGCUUGUGCUCCACCUAAGGUAAAGAUCGGGCUGUGGAAAAUUGCCCUUGACAUCAUUCCUACUCAUGAUAACCUUAGGAGAGGCGAGUCGAGAGUCGAGACCGAACCGUACUGUGUUUUGUGCGGUUCUUACGGUGAGCAACGACAAGAAAAGCCUAUAGAAUCAUGAGGCACACCUCGAAUGUAUGCGAAUUGAGGUCCGCAGCCCAACUCGCCAGGCAAUCUAGGAUAGAUGAGGAUCGAGAAGGGGUGGGUGGGUAACCCAUUGGAGAUGCGGGCCACAUGCAUUUUGCGAAAGAACAGCUUCUCAUAAGGAGAAAGCUUAUUUCUGUCAGAUAUUUGCAAAAAAUCUAUCAGAAAUUCAUGUAGUGACAGAUAAAAUAACCGACAACAUUGCUUGCGUCAUGAAAAGUUUUUUGAUGUCGGACAUCCCAUUUUAGAAAUUAAUUAAGGUGUAAAUCCUAAAUUUUUUAUUUUUUAUUUUUUGAUACUUCAAUGAAGUGAGGUAGGAUAAAAGGAAUGAGGAUUCACUUCGUAUCCUCCUUGUGAGGAUUUGGGAAUCCUCUAAUCGUAUCCAUUUAUUAUACAUCAUAGAUCAAAAAUUAUUUUAAAUAUUUUUACUUUAAAUUAAAUAUAAAUAAUAUCUUAUGAAAAUUGGUCGUACAAUAUACGAUUAACGACACGAUUAAGAUCCUUAAAAGAGUUAUCUUUCAAUUGUGCCAAAGGAAACAUAAUCCUAUUUUACAGUAAUCGUUUCUGGUGACUUUUUCUGAGGAUAAAGUAGCGGCGGAAGUUGAACCCCAAAAAGAGUUCAAAAUUAGGGUUUAAAGAGAUAGGAGUCGAACUAUCAGGACUAGAGCUUUGCAGUGAUACCCAUUGGGAGGAGGCUCUGAGUUCUGCAUUCGCCAUCGAGGUUCAAUUUCCAAAGCAGGACUCUGGGUAAGUAAAUUUUGAUCUAACCAUCACCCAAAAGAAACGAAUUCGAAUUUGAAAUUCUGUCGAAAUUUCCUUUUACUCCCUUUCGUUUUCCCUUUAUGCUUUCAAAUUUCCUCUUCUGGGUCGUCGUUUUUAUGAUUUGUGCAUAGAAGAAAUCAGUUAUUUUGGGUUUGUUUGUUUGUUUGUUUGGUUUACCAAUUUAGUUCUGUGUUUGGUUACUUGGAAAAUGGAGGGAAAAUCGAGAGAAAGAUGAUGACUUUUGGAACUUUGGGUUGGGUUUUAUAAUCUUGUCUUCUUUCAGGUUCUGAAAUGUGAAACAAACGAACAUUUGUUGUUGGGUAUAUUUGUUUGAAGAAAGUUAAUUAUUGUUGCAAGAGAAUUCCGAUUCGAUAAGAGAUAAUCUCCGUCGGAUACCGGUAUAGGGGUUUGAGGCUGUGUGGAAAUUGAUAACAGUGGUAAUGCUACUGUAGGAUCACCUUUUUCGAGUCUCUGGUUUUCGUGUGGUGUUGUACCUUUCUGUUUAAUUGAAGGAGAGUUGAUGUUAUCUUUUUGAAGUUGAAUAAUAAGCAUUGUAGAUGUCAGUUUAAGGACUGUGAGUAAUGCUUUCUUCUUGUUCUUAUAUGCAGGGGUUUUGAUCGAAGAGAUAAGUGUAAGGGUGGCGAUAACAAGUUGAACUGAGCUACUUUCGAAAUAUUAACAGAAACCAUUUUGGUCCAUCUCUGUUUAUCAAUAAUUAAGCUUCUGAAGUUGUUUGUUUUACACCAGAAACAUCCAAUAGGAAAUUCAGUAGUUCUUUGCAAUGAAUUCUGUUUUCUCAUCUCACUCUCUUUUCGUUUCCUUGCCUAGAUGUCAGUUCCUGCCUUGUAUUCAAACACAACCUCAACAUGUGGUCAUAAACCGUGUUUAUCGCCGGAAUCAUUGUGUCCCACAUCUUUCUCUUUCAUUUCCUUUUAUUGCACAUCAGUCUUUGCAUACUCGCCAAACACCUUUUGGUGCCACGGCUCCAUCAAAUGAAGGCGUAGUGUCUGUAAUCAACUUUGACGAUUUUGCUGAGAAAGACUGGUCCUUUCUUGAUUCAGGUGAUUUCAGUUCCAACCAAGAUUAUAACCUUAAGAUUGAUCGCAUUAUAUCCGCAGGAGAGAUUGAAGAAGCUUCAAGGGUUAUGGUUUCAAUUGGUUCUGAAGGAUUUGUGGAUCGGUUGGUUGAAUCAUCACCCUGCAGUCUCCUGCUUGUUGUCCAUGAUUCACUUUUUGUUUUAGCUGGCAUUAAAGAAAAAUAUGACAAGGUUAAGUGUUGGCAAGGAGAAUUGAUAUAUGUACCUGAUAAGUGGGCGCCCUUAGAUGUUGUGUUCCUUUAUUGCCUUCCAGCCGUGCCCUUGAAGCUUGACGAAGUGUUUAAAACACUUGCAAGGUGUUUUACACAAGGUGAUUUUCAUAAUAUCAUCCAUUUUUCUUUUCAUUCAUGCUUGAUAUAUACUACUGCUUCUCAGCCUUAAUGAAAUGUCAUUAAUUGGUAUACACUCGUCCUAACAUUUCAUUCAGGACUCACCCAAAGUUAUACGUAUUUGCCUGUAUGAAUCCAUAAAUUGAAAGUUUCGUGUUAAAAUUAGUAAGGAGAAAUUUUUUUGGAGAGUGAUAAAUCUACCAUUAGCUGUUGCAUUCUUUCAAUGUAUCACUCUUGAGUCUGAGUUGUGGGUGUUCCUCGUAUAGGUGCGAGACUUGUUAUUAGCCAUCCCCAAGGAAGAGAAGUUUUGGAGCAGCAACGACGACAGUAUCCAGAUGUUGUAACUUCUGACUUGCCUGAGAAGAGUACUUUAGAGGAAGCGGCAACCGAACAUUCUUUCGAAUUAACCGAAUAUGUUGAUGAACCUUGUUUUUAUCUUGCUGUAUUAAAGUUUGUUGGGGCAAGAAACUGAUGGUUGAUUUAAACUUUGACAAUUUCAUGUGCAAGAAACAGUGGAUUCAAUUGAAAAUUUAUAGAUUCACACAUCGUUUUAUUUUUGAAGACUGGUUCUUUUGCCCUACUCCCUGCCUUAUGUUUCUUUUCGGCCAUUUAACCCUUGUGCCGUGCUGAGCAAGUUAGGUAGCUUUCGCUUGCCUCUGUUCAAAAAUUGGACUCUCGUUGAAGGUCAUUGAACUUACUGAACUUCGAACUUGGAAUGAGCAAGGAGGAAUUAACAAUACUUUUCAUCGUUUGAGUUGUUUGCGGGACUGGUUGCUCAAAAACUUUGGUUUCUAAUCCAACCCAAUGAGAAAAAAUGGUAUCACGUCUUAUGGGCUCGUUGGGACUCAUUCUGGUCUAGUUAAUAACCGAUUAGAAGUAGAAGGUGCUCCGACACGAUCCUUCCGAACGAAAAACAAGGGGUUGCAAUUAGUUUGAUAAUGAUCGAGUGAUGGUGAAGAAGUCCUUGACCAACAACCAAUAGAGGAAGAUUUAUUCAGUCACAGAUGGUAAACAAAAUUUCAAGCCAUCAAAAUUUGAUGGAAAACUCAAAAGAUUUGCACUCAAGACAUAACACAUAAAUUCCUCAUCAUAUAAGCUCCAUUAUUUUCAUCAUCCCAGAAAAUUCUUUUAAUAAAAUGCUUUAGGAGGUUCAAAAUCCUAAAACAGGCUCUAAAAUACAAGAGUAAACUUCCAUACCAACAAAUUCUUCAUUAAUUAAAGAACAACGAAAAAGAAAACUCUUCAAACAUUGUAGCACUCUCCCAACCUUUUUCUCUCUACUAUAGGAAAAACAAAAACCAACGGGGCAAAUCGAUAAACGCAAAACUAUUGAGCUAAAAAUUGGAAUUUUUCAAAGGAAGAUUAUUGAGUACCAAGUACCGCAAACCUUCAUCUCGAUAUAAGAAGAUAGGGACUGCAUAUUCCUCAACAGCCGCCUCACACCUUCUUACCUCAGAAGAAUUGAAACCUUAUGCCAUUACUUGCUGCAAACAGGUUGUAUUCUUCAAUGGUAGCCUCCUUCUUGUAACAUGCCUGAUCAUUCUCAACAUGAUCCGAACAUUUUAAAGGAGAAUCCGUAACAGUCUGUUCUUUCGAAGGCAUAUAUCCCGGUGGAUUAGCAACAGGGCCACCAUAAUGGAAUAAGGAAAAGCCAUCAUUGUUCGUAUGCAAUUUUCCAGAAUUAUCAUCGUUCGCUCUUUCUCCAGUUGGUGUUGCUUGCCUUGAAUGAGCUCCAGAUGGAUCCACACUCUCUGUACUAGCUUCAUUAGGAUAGUCUUGCAUACACGGGGUAGAUAUCUGAGUUUGCUCCUCUCUGUUGAUGACUGGCUGAUAAAUUGGAACGGAGCCAGGGGUAGUAAACAAGGGAGGUAUGUGCUGCACAGGAUACUGCAUGCAGAAGCCUGAAUUUCCAUUUAUACCAUACCCAAGAGGACCAGCAUAUAAGUAAUGGUUCGGAAAUGUUAGCAUUCCAUUUGCUGGAGCAGCAGGCCAUGAAACUGGACUUUGGUGAUAGUAACCCAUUGUUGAAGGACCUUGAAACACAGGAAACUGUACAUUUUGGUUAUGCAUCAGAGGAAGCAUGCCAUGAUGCUGUGAACCCACAUUAACAGCAGACAAACCACUAUCAAAACUCUGAGCAAUUUUUGUUGAUGGAUUCCCAAAAAUGUUACUCCCUGCUCCACUCAGAGAAGGACCAAUCGGUGUCCUGCUUUCGAUAGACUCUCCUUUUGCACUCUGAUUAUUCUCCAUACCAACUUCAUGGUCUCGGAAACCAUUUGGAAUGAAUAUAGAAGUUUCCCUUCCUCCUGAUUGCUGGCUGGCAUCUUCUGAAUCUGAUGUGGAUGAAGAUUCCUGAUGUCCAUGAUGUGACGAGGUUGUAUUGCUAUCUCCCUCACUUAGGCAUGACGAGCAGUUAUCAGAAUUAGAAGUACUGCUGACAGUGGGGUCAGAAGUUCCAUUUGAUGUAGAGUCAAUGGAAUUAAGUACAGAACCGGUAGGGCAUAAUCCAAUCUCCUCAUAAGUGGCUUUUGUUGAGUUGCAAGAAUCCUGUGCUCCUGCAUGAAAUCCACUCUGACAGUUGACAUCCAUUCCUGUGCUGGAUUUUCUUGAUUCCUUCAAGUUAUUAUCCUCAUCAAUCUCACCUGCAUCUACCCCAUCUUCACCUGCACAUAUAUCACCAGGUGACUUCACGAUUUUAUCUUCAUGCUUGAAAGCAAAUGACCUCAAGGUAACAUCGGAGUCUGAGUUACUUCUAGGAUACAUGGGCUCCCAAAUUUUCUUGGGAUGAACCAAAUCUCUACUAGGAUUGUCCCCAUAAUUGACUUUGCUUUUGGGUCUUACACAACUAUCACGCAAGUCUCCUACUUGGUUAUACCUGUUACCACGAUAGAAUUGCUUGGACAUAUCUAAUGCAGAUUCUGACUUACUUGCAGUUUUAGUAUCCCAUCCCAAUCUGGCAGCAGAAACAUGGGGUUCUACCUUUGCUCUAUAUUCAGUGUUUUUGUUACAGCUGCAAGAAUUGAAGUCGUAUCUGUCACUCAUCCUGUUACUUGGGGAGAGAAACUUCUCAGUAAACUUAGGACCACUAUGUCGACCACUGGACUUCGGGCCAUUCACUCUUAAUUGCCUAUUUGAUCCAUUGAUGACCCUUGAUGGAGUCUCAAAAUUGUCAGCAUUACAUCUCGACUCAGAUCUACUAACCACAGAAGCACUGUCUGAAACAGUGGCAUAUCUGUGUCGGUCAGACCACUUCAAAGAUGCAUCUAGUUGAGCUUCUCUCCUAUAUUUUAAUCUCCGUCGUGAAAACUUUGAUUGCUCAACUGUAAAAGAACCAGUAUCACCUCUUCCAUUGGUGAUUUCACCAUCAGGACUUUCAUAACAGUGGUCUUCACUUUUUAAAAUGAUAAAAUCUUUUUGGAACUGUUCAUCACGUGUCUCAGGAGAUCCAGGCCUAGAUAAAAUCUGAUCAUCAGCUUCAAUAACUGAAUCCUUGCAGCUAAUGGAACUAUUAGGCUCCUCAUCAGCAUGUAGUGAUGAUUCUUCCUUGGAGACAACAUCAAGAGCAGGAGUUUCAUUUACUUCAGAACAUUCCAUAUCUUUGUCUUUUUCUUUCCCUUUCAACCUCUCCUUUCUUCGCAAUUUUUUCUCUCUUUCUUUUGUUCUUCUCCUCUCUUUGCGCUCUUCUUCUUCACGCUUUUCUUUUUCUUCCUCUUCUAGAAGCUUCAUCUGUAGAGAAAAGGUGCAAAGUCAUCAGAAGUGUUUCUCCUAAAACGUAAAAUGGCUCCUCAUUUUUCUACCUAGUAUGUUAUCUUUGAAUAUAUAACAAGAUUUUUACGGCCCGAAAUAUAACAAGAUUUAAGACCUGCUUUUCAAGAGUAAUUAUAUCUUUGCAGGCAACAUGAACUCGCUCUUCCAGCAGUUUUAGUGCAAGACAAACAAAGAUGCUAUGUGCAUUUUGACGAGCUGUUCCUUCUCUAAAUGCUUUUUCCACCUGAAAGAUUGACAUUCACAAUCAGACAGAGAAUACUUAUAUUACAGUCACACACAACAUGCAUACUAAGAAAUCUGCCAGCAAUGCGCACACACACACAUAGUGAGUAGUUUUACAGCAUCAUGCCAACAUAACUCCGAACUCCAAAAAUCUAAGCAUCUCUGCUAUGAAGACAUUGUGUGCAACGUGCAGCCACACUCACUUUCUUUUGCCUUUUUUCCUCUUGUUGGCCAAGACUACAACCUAACAUUGAAUCUUUAACCCUCUCCCUACCGUAGUUUCUCCAAGGAAAACACAACUUUUAAAUACCAUUUCCUCAAUAGUUAAAUAAAAAGGUUUAAAUAGUAACAAUACCGAACUAUUGUGAUUGCAUUCCCUAGGCACCAUUGACAACACCACUAUUUGACAUCAUUCCUAGCAUAGAAAAUAUAAUUUCUCUCUUACUUUCCACAUUGCACCCAGAUGUCUUAUAGACCGAAUUGUAUACUACCUAACUGAGGUUUAAGAAUACAAUAUGGUAUAUGAAGGAUCUUAAUUUAUGUUAACACAGGUAAACAAACAAAGGAGCUGAGUUUAUAUAAUGAACAACGAUAAACUUAACACACAACAACAUCAGCAGACUGAACAUGCCUGUUCCUUGAAAAUAACAGUUGCAGCAUCUAGUAGAAAUUCUCGAGCAAGUUCAGGACUCUUCGCAUGUUUUUGCGGACGGGAGCAUUCUCCAUCCAGUUCAUUUCCAUCUUUGUCCAUAGAAUCAUCAUCCUGAAAAACACAUUAAAUAACAACACUUCUUUAGGUCUAACCCCGUAAGAUAUAAUAUAAAUCUCAACUGUUUCUGGAGAACUGAGAACAUAAAUAAUAACACUAAGCCUUUAGGGAUCUUAACUACCUCUUCUUCCUCUGCCUCUUCAGCAUGCUCAAAAAAUCUUCUAAUACUUUCUCCUCUUGUGAUUGUUACAUAGCCAUCUCCGACAAUAAGCCUACAGUGAACACAUUCUUGACCCUUCAAUGCAUGAGCUUUUACAGAAAGCUCGGUGCAACGGCCAUCUAGUUUCCAAGCCCUCAGGGUAAUGUAGCAUGCACUUAAACCACCGAGAUCUAGACCAUUGACCUUCACACUUCCAUUCAUGCCAACAUUUUCAAAUUCCAGAAUAUCUGAUUUUCCCUCGCCUGUUCCAACUGCCCACUCAAAAUGAUGGUAUGUACCAACAGUGUCGGCAAAAGUAUGGCGCCAAUCAGCUUGUACUGAGGCAUCAGAUACCUGUAAUGACAGCAAAAAAGAGAUUAAAACGACAGUCGCAUCAUCCGUACUUAUAAAAAAUGGUUCAACUAUCAAAAAAAAAUUCUCACUAGUCUGCUCUUGAAAAACUUGAGAACACAAAAAUCACAACAAAAACCAGAGAAAAGAACAAAAUUAAAGAAACAUAUGAGGCCACACCUCAUACUGAAAUGCGGUGUCUGCAACACAAAACCAAUUAGUGCAGCGAGGUUCCCUCCUCAAGCGCUUCAGCUCCUUUAGCUCCUUGAACUCACGAAUCACAUUCCUUCUGCAAUCUCUGCAAAAUCUCUUGCUAUCAAACCUGUGACAGGAACAUCAAAAUCUUAAGACAACCCAGAAUAAAAGUAAAUGAUGAGGACUUUUAGGAUAUCCAAACUUAAGGAAGUAAUUGCUGCAAACAUAACUCUAGACUAGGCAAUUUUAGAGGACAAAAUAACGUAUAACUUCAUGCUACAUACAAAACGGCCAGAUGUUGCAACAUGAAAAGCCACUGGUAGAUUAAUCAUUCACGCUAUUACUUUUUAUUCACCUGCAUAUGUUUUGGUGAGGAUUUUCAAAUACCGUCAUAAUAGUUACUAUGCGCAUGAACCCAAAUUCAAAUGUAAUUCAAAGAAAAGAGUAUGUUUCAGGCCUAUGUAAAGCCUUCAAGGAUGCGUCGGCUAAUAAUGGGCAGCUAUUGUACCAAGUGAACCUUCUUUUCUCUUCCCUAUUAGCUUCACCAGGCUGAACAUCCUCAAUAUCAUUACUAAUCUUGCAGUUCUAAUAACCAAAACUUCCUCCACAAACCAUAACUAAACAUACAGCGCUUCUCUCAACCAGAAAGAAGAAAUACAUCACUUCCACUAUUUUAUAUUGAAUCUCUUGAGAAAGGGAUACAUGAAUAGCUAAACACCUGUACAUGAGCCUCUCAAUAAAAUCCUCUUCCUUCAUCCUAAGAAGAGACUGUCGAGUUUCUUCUCCAAGUGCUGACCAGAAAUCAACCAAUGUAUCGCAAGAAAGCCUAGCAGUGUGCAAUGCACAAGUUUCUCUUGUUCCAUGUCCUCUGCCAUAACUUGCCAUUCCUUGGCUUAUCCAACCCCGACCUCCCCCGCCACAUGCAUCAGGAUAAAGCAACUCACGUUCUCGUUCUCUUGCACGUGCACUGUCAAACACCUAAUUCAAGCAAAAAACAAAAAAAAUCAGCUACUAGAAUGAAAUUGGCUUGUACACCAAAGUCAUGAAAUAAUAAAAUUAUAACUUACAUUUUGAAGUCCCUUGAGAGAAUUACAAUACAAAUAGCAAUCAAUCAGCGUCAAUGACCCCUCACGCGUUAUGGUUAGACCACCCCAAGGAUGGACAGAUGGAUCUGGUAUUUCGUCAUGGCACCCAUUACUAAUACUUGAUCCACCAUCAUUUUGAUUUUUGGGGGCCCUUGACCUGUUGCAGGAUAGUUGCUCGCAUGUUCCCUCCUGCUUCAAAGACUUGCCAUACAUGACAAUCUGAAAAAAACCUUCAAGCAGUAACCCAUUGCAUCUAGAGCAGUACAUGUUCUUCCGAGCUUGUUCAAAAAGGGUUUGCUUGUCAAUCCUGAGAAGCUUCUGUCGAGCUUGUGGUAGAUCACUCCAAAACUACAUCAAAGGUAUAUAGAACUUCGUAAGAGACUUGUCAGACAUCAAUGAGUAAAAAAAAAAUGGAAUAAUUAUAGGUUAUUAUACAAUCCAUAAAUUCCCAAAUGUUAGUAUUACUACAAGGAACUUCUUAUUCAAUCCCAACUGCAAAUACCAUCAAACGAACCACAGUUUUAGGAUCAGUAACUGGGAAAUGAUAUCAUUUAUCAAGAAGCAAUGAAUGCAACUUUUCUACCUGUAACGUGCUUGCAUCGAUGAAAGAGUCUACAUGUGUAUAUCUGUGAAUACGUUCUAAGUCCAAGCCUGUAAGCAUUACUAACUUACUAUAAACUAAGCAAUAAAGGUGCACUAAACUUGGUAUAACCAGACAGCUUCAUUCAGAUAUCGCGCCUGGAUAAUACAAAAACAUAAAAUUUCUUUCUUUGUACUUACUUUUCUUCCGUUACCACGCAUGUGAAGAGCCAUUUGGAAACAAAAACAUAAUGAGAAACAUUCUCCUAUAACGGUACACAUUACGCAAUUAUUAACUCAAGUACAUAAUUACAGAUUAUAUUCUCACUAAGGACAUAUAUACAUACACACAAACAAGUAAAGUGGAUCUGAUUAACAAAACACCGAUAUUCCGACGAAAACUAGCUCUCCAAUGAACAAUCAAACAAGUACAAAUAGUACAAGAUCCAAUUCAAACGCAAAACACCCAUUUAAUUCGUUGAUCAAACACAAUAUGAAAACUAAUCCAAAUUAAUCUCAACCCAAAUUUAAAGAAAAAAUCGAAUAAAUUAAAAAAAAAUAGAGUACCCUCUGGAGCUGAUUGUAGCUAACAUCGCCACGAUGCUUGGACCAAAAUCCGUUGGGCGAAGAUAGUGAGUAAAUGGGCGACGACCCAUUACUGAAUUGGUCAUUUCUCUGAGCUAAACCGGGCAUAUUUGGUUCAAGCACUCAUAGAAUUCUCAUUCACCGGCUCUUCCCAUCCCCAGGCACGCGUUCGCCGUCCGAUUCGGAUCCAAUCCGAUCAAAAAUCAAGCAUUUAAUGAAUAAACAAACGAUAAUUAAUCUGGGGAUUAUAGAUCGAGAAGUUGACGGUUCUCGGAUCGAAAUGAAUUGCGUCGGAGGUGAAUCGGAUUGGGAUGGUGGGUUGAAUUGAAUUGGAUUGGAUUGGAUUGCAGGGGUGAGAAGUGAGAAGGGAUUCAGAGAGAAAGGGGGAUGCAAUGGGGGUUUUGGUUGAGGACGAUGAGAUUUGGUGCUGCGUAUAUAUUUGGAGAGCGAGGAGAGGGACAAGGGAAGGCUUCAAGGCUUUGGUAAUGGUAAGCUCUACGAGAGGCGGUUAAAACGAAAUGAGCCACAGAGAGAGAGAGAGAGAGAGAGAGAGAAAUACUGUUUUACGUUACAAAUUAACAGGAUUAAAAUUCCAAGGUAAAAUAAUUUCAUAAUUUGAUACUUUCUUUUCAAUCAUCUGUCCACAUACAUUUAUAUAUGUUGUAGGUAUAAUUUCCUGAACAAUUAUAGAAGCUUUAAAGAGAGGGGUGCGGCAAUAGGUAGAGAGAAUGAUAGAGAUGUGUAAUUGUGAUGUGUGUUCUAUUUCAUCCCAUUGUGCCUUUAUUUAUAGUAGUAGAGAAGGUUAAUUCCUUACCCUUUAGGAUUACAACAUUUAAUAGGUAAUCUACUCUUAAUAGGAAUAUAAGAGAUAUUCCAAAUUAUACUAUAAUUUACACAAUCACAUUCAUAAUCUAAUAGGACUGCAACACUCUCCCUUGGCACAUCAGGUCUUCAGUGAUGAAGUAAGUAUAGUUGAUGAAGUUGUCGGCACAAUAAGCAAAUGCAAGUCUCAAAUCAACGGAAGAAUGCAUAAAAAGGUAAAACUCACAAAACCUUGCUAUGGUAAAACCCAAGGUGGGAGAAAAACUCAUAGUCUAAGGAGAAAAGUGAGAAGUUGCAUUAAGUCAAAACUAUACGUCUUUUGGACACAAGUAGAAGAGCUCACAAAGGUAUGAUCAGCUCAAGAUAGGUGCCUCGUUAAAACCUAGUUAGGUAGCAAAAACCCAGUGGAAAAAAUGCUCCUAAUCGUAGGUAAAAAGAGUACAUUAAGAUCAAGUGAGUAUAUUUCUGGAUACUCCCCUGAAUUUGACAUAACUUCCAAAUGAGAACUACAAGCAUUGCAUAUGAAUAGUUAGGCAUACCAAUUCCUCGGACAAGCUUCUGGAAGGUUGACUUCGGCAGUGAUAUCGUAUAGAGGUCGGCAAGGUUGCUUGGGAUCGGCUUGCAUAACUUCAAUCUCAUGAUGCUUUGUUGAUGUAGAUGUAAACGCAAUAUGUCUUAGUGUUGACUUCAUUGAUGUAUCAUAGCUUGGUCGGGUUGAUACAUGGGGCAUAAUCUUCAUGGAUCGUCGUUCAGACUCAACGAUGGAUGAAAACAUAGCAAGUACUUCGAAUAUGCUCAACAAGAACUCCUAACCAUGUCUCACUUGUGACAUAGUGAAGUAAGGUGAGUCUUGGAACGAUUCAAAGAUUUCGCAACUAAGGUCAUAUCAUGGACCUCCAAGAUAUUGCGAUAUCCAUAACAGUAAAGAUAUAACCAUUUUGGGAUUUUGCCUUGUGCGGGUUUGAUAAGUAACCUGCAUCAGCAUAACAAACGAGGCAAGCAUAAUUUCGAGGAUCAGGGGGGUUGGAUUCGCUGAGAUGCGUUAGGAUUUAUCCUCGUAGUACCUUUAGGGUACGUCUUUAAUAUCAAUUCAGUGGUUGCAUAUAGGCGCGGUGCUGCAUUUUUACCAAGAUCAACAACGAAUGAGAUGUCUUGUCUAAAUACAAUGAGUUAAGUACAACGAAGCGUAAAGUUGAACUUUAGAUAUGGAAUUUUAGAUUCCAUAACCUCUUCAAGGGUCUCAUUUGUAUAUAACAUAUAGACGAUCAUGGGCAUACUCAAAGGUGACUCAUUCAGGGUGUAGUUCGACUGGUAGACAAAAUACUGUCAGAAAAAUACUUCAACUUCAGGUCAAGGUAUAAACGAGUUUUCCCAAGAUCUUUCGUCUCAAAUUCCAUCUUCAGGUGCGAGGCAGUUUUCUCAAGCAUUUCUGAAGUUUUAGUGAGAUUCAUGUCAACGACAUAAACUGUAGCUCUAGCAAUUUGGAAUAAAACUUCAUAGUUUAACACGCAAAGGCGUAGUUCAUAUCCCUAACUAAUCACAUAAUCACUUAGACAGGUAUACCACAUCCGUCGGAUUGUAAGUGAAAACCUCAAGCAAGUUAAAAGGGUGUUCCGUGGUUUUAGAACUAUUUGAACCAGUCUAUGUAAUUCUUCGAGAAUUUACAUGUAAAUCUCCAUAUCUAUAUCCCCAUGGAGAAAAUACUAACCACAUUUCAUAAUGCUGCUAUCAAUCACAUGACAUUUUGAGAUAAACAUUACGUUGUAAGACGUUCAUCAUAUUGCACUAUUUUAUUUAUCUCAUAAUGCUUCAUUUCUCACUUGGAACACAACAGAGUUACCUUGGGCAGUGUAGGAACAACAGAUCCAAUACACACUUUGGUAAGGAAUUUGACCUGGAUUGUAAUUGUCCAAUCAGUUCUACAUUGUCACUUAAUCAACGGAACACGGUUUGAUAUCGUUGCUUUUCAUUUAUGUCAGUAGCUACCAUAUAAGUGAAAACAUCAUCGAUGGUAAUCUCAUUUCAAUUCCAUUCAGCUCACCCCAAACUAGUAUACUGGACCAAGAACUUCAAGUCUUGGGAGUAAUCCGGAUUAAUCUCAUGAGAUGGAAAUGAUUUGAGACAGCGAUCGAGUUUAGAUUCAUUGUUGUGCUGUCUCUUCCUCUUCUAGGGAAGCGAAUCCUACGAACCGAAUAAUAUGUUGUGCUUUAGGCCAAGAUAGAUUGAUUGGCUAUCCGCCAGUGUACCGAACCGUCCAACAUGGGCGUCCAAAUCGUCCAACAGGGGCGGCACACCCUUUAAAGAUGUUGACUCGACGUCCGUUAAGUACAUCUAUCCUUGCAGGCAUGUUUGCAACUGAUAUAUGAUCUCACCAUUUUAGCUAGAUCAGAUGAAUGCGUCUGGAGCAACAUUCUAAAAACUAGAAUUCAUCGCACUUGCUUAUCAAACUUAUGCGGUAUGGGGAUCAAAAUGAGACAUAGUAGGCAACGUCCAAGCAAAUUCAUGUCGUUCUCCAAGAACGUUGACGUUCUUAUCUCCCCUUAACGGCAGGAAGAUUGUCUCAUUAAAGUGAUAACCCGCAAAUGAACGGUAAAGAGAUCGCAUGCAAGGGCUCAAAUAGAGCUAGUGUGAAGGAGAAUCAUGAUCGACAAAAGAUACACAUUCUUCUUUGAGGACCCAUGGUGGUACGUUGCGACGGCUCAACUUGACACAUGGAAUGCACACUUAAAUACGUAAAUACGAAAAUCGUCAGGUUCGUACCCAGUAACCAACUGUAACGUCAUAUAGGUUGGGUGGCAAUGGGCCUCAAGGCAGACCAACAUAACUGCGUACAAGGAUUGCAUAGCCCUAGGCAGAAACUAAAAACUUGGUACGUUUACCAAAACUCGGGCGAUCAUUUAAAUUGCGCUUUAUGAUUACUAGGCGAGGCUCUUUGGGGUGAACAUGGGAUUUCAAUGUUCAAUUAUAAACCCAAAAUACAUGCAAUAUUUUAUCGAAAAUCAUCAAUAUAAACUCUCCGACAUUAUCCAGUUUCCCAGACCUUAAGGGAUAAGUAGGGUGGUGAACCCGUAAUCGGCCAGGAGGUUUAGCAGCAAUGUUUGUGGACAAACAUGUGAUCAGUUUGUCGAUUCAUCAACCAAAACCAUAAGUAUUUUAUAUGGUCCGCAUUUUGGUUGGAUUGGUCCACAUAUAUUCCUUUGAAUCCACUGUGAAAAGAUAGUCGUGUCGUAUCUUUGCGAGGAAUGAUAUAGAAAAUCAAUUUCCCUAAUGAGCAUGCUUGGCAAAGUGUGCUUGUAAGCACAAGAUCUUUACUUCAGGUAAGGAGAUGUGUUGUAGCAUCAUUGUUCGACUUAAGUGUCCCAAAAGGUCAUGCCAAAGCAAGUAAACUACUCAAUCACCAGGGUCCAGGCCAGCCACAUGUGGCGUGUUCCCAGUUGGGAAACAAUCCAUUGGCCUCAAAUCAAAGCUUUAGGCUCAUUUUUUGGAGGUGGUGCAAAGAUAUUUCACUUUAUUUUCUUCAGUGGUUUCAUUUAUGAUCAUUGUCAUCUCGAAUAUCCUUAAAAACUCAACGUCAUGGAUAAUUUAAGGUCCCUUAAAUGGUAAUUCAGUACCAUUCAUACAAUGAGGAGCGUGCCAAUACUCUUAAUCAGGUUAGAUAGACCUGCAGUCGUUGUUAGAGAUGUGAUUUAGGUGUAAAGUUAGUGUGCGUAGUACGCAUUCAUCCAGACAACUAACUUUCCCACAUUCCUACCUAAUCACGUGUUUAAUUGAAUCGGUCACAUGUAUUAAGAAACAUUAUUCAAUUAACUCAUAUUCGAGGACAAUAUCAAUAAGAUUAUCUAUAAGUAAAACAUACACCAAACGUGAAUCCAAGAACAUGGAAAAAUGUUCACAAAGUAAAUGGUUUACUAAGGGGAUUCGGCCAACAAGGCUAUCCAUGUUAAAAUUCUGCUAUUCCAACAGUGUUUGGUGGAGCAAAAUUAGUGUCACAUAUUGACUACUAUAAUGAUACUCCUUAACAACAUUGGUAGGGGCACGAACAGGUGCAUAACCAAUGAUUUAUUCUAUUGAGACGGAAGUAAAUUCUGCAAGGUUAAGGUUCGAGAAUAUUUUCUCUUAUUCUUGAAGUUUUAGGUCUUAGGUACUAAGGAUCAUGCUUUGGGCAUGAUGCCACACCUUGGCAGGCCCUGAUUCUACCAUAUGUUGUAAAAACAAACUCGAAAUUGGAUUGUGAGAGAAUAUGUCAUUAGGUGUAUCCCUGCUAAAGCAGUGCAUCACCAUUCGGUAGGCUUUGAGGAACUGGGUCGAGCAAUUCGGUAGACUUCAGCCAAACUGGAUCCAUACCUUUCUCACGUUUGUGGUAGUAAUCAGAUCCGAGAAUUUGGUAAACUUUCGUUUUCUACAUUGCUGCUUCAGGGACGAGUUAGAAACAUGGAAAGACAAGAAAAGUUUUCUCUAGUAAAAAAUUCAAUUGGAUUUAUAAACUUCAGAAUUAUACUCAUUCAUGGACAUAAUCAUGGUGUGCUUCAGGCAAUGUCCUUCAUGAUUAGACGGUCCGUAAAAGCGAGCCAAAGAGCCAUGGAAUCCUCAAUUGGGAGGUAUUUCCAUUUGUAAUACUUUGAGCAUAAGUCUUAGAAUGAAGGUAAUGGCAGAGGCUUAUUCAGCUCUUCCAUGCCAUUGUUGGCUGCAAUGGUUUCUUAGCUUGUUGAUAGUCAAGUGGAGAUUCACGUCUUGUACCCCACAUAAAGUGAUUUCUAAUAGAAAACGCCCAAAUCAGGAAAAUCAAACUUAUGACGGUUCGACAAUCCAUUGAAUUGGAAGGAACAAGAUUGUGAUUGGUGCUAUGAGAAUGAAUCAUCCAUAAGCAUCAAAGUUAGAACAUUCGAGUUCUAAGACAUGGUUUUCAUGAAAAAGUCGGGUUUUCAUGGGUGUAUUCUUUUAUGAAAACUUCGGAUUUCAAAGGCAUUAAAUUGGAAACUACAUGUUCAAUUUAGUUUAUGAACGUUUAGUUCAUAAAAGAGAGGUUCCCACAAGAACACAUAAUGCAAUAUACAAUUAAGUGUGGUGGAUUUGGGUUGCUUCAGGAACUCAAGUUUGAGUGCUUCGAGACUACGAAAGUAUGUCAACGGUUCAAAGAAAAGAAAUAAAAUAUUAAAUCGUUAAUGUCCAAAAGUGAUUUUCAGGUCAAUAAUUUUGGAUUCAUUAUCAGAUUAAUGAACUGCAGGUCACUUUUAAUUAAUUCAAAAGAUCGAGACCAUUUGGGAUCGAUCAUAGAAGCAAAAAUAAAAUUUGUGUAAGGCCAAUAAUUAUUUAAUAUUAGAUGCAGGCUAUACAAAUAAAUUAGGCCUAUAUUAGGCUCGGGUAGGCUGCAAUUGGGUAGCCCCAUAACAAGUAAAGCAAGUCUGCAUGCUUGCUGUGAUGUCACAUGCCACGGGAAUAAGGCUGCAAAACAGCCUACCAUAAAUGCAGGUCAGCGGAUCAGGAAAAAAAAAAGGGUUAGAUCCUAGAGGCCUAGGCUUGCUGGCUUUGGGCUAACUCAUGAAAAAAGCCCAACUUGUGCUGGCUUCUGGUUGACGCUAGAGUAGGCCCAGUCAACACCAGGCUUCGAGCUUUGGGGCGAGAUGAAUGAUUGUUGCAAGCAGGAAAAAGGCUGUAGGCCUUCAAUAAGAAACCCAGGCGCAUGUCUGGUGCUCAUGCACAUGCAGCAAGCCUAAAGGCUGCUGCCUCACGGGUCCAGUGCCCAAGCCUUAAGAUGCAUGCUCGGUUUAGGUUGGCGUGGCUACAGGUCGCGACUCAACUGAAAUUUUUUUCCAAAAUUUAAUUUUUUUUUCUUUUCAAAAUACCUAGGGUUUGAAAAACCCUAUUUGCUUCUAAUUUCUUUCAAUUCUUUGACUCACAAAUUCCACAUAGCAAAAAUUGCGUAAUGCAUGAAACAAAUAUAUAUAUAUUGACAAAUAUAUAAACAUAUACAAUAUAUAUAUAUCGGAAGGAAAAUAUAAACAUAGGGGGGAAUGUUUUCAUACUUCAUGGUCAUUUCAAAUAUCUUACUUUAUUUUAAACGUACCUGACUGGCAGAAAACAACAAAAGCCUUGAAUUUGUAGAAGAUCCUUCUCGGAAAGCCUGAAUUGCAUCUCCAAUGUGUUGUAUCACGUUUAACAUAGAAAAAUUAAAUUAAAUCAAUAGCAUGUAGAUCAAUUCAAUAAAAUAAUGAAUUAAUCAUAAGAAGAAUGAUUAAAACGUAAUACUCCCCUGAUUAAAGAAUAAAUUUUCUUGUUAGCACAGCGUCAAGAGCGUGCUGAUAACGUGUUAUAGGCAUAAUUUACUGAGCAAUUAUAGAGGCCUUAGAGAGAGGGGUGCGGCAAUAGGCAGAGAGAAUGAGAUAGAUGUGUAAUUAUGAGGUGUGUUCUAUUCCACCAUGUUAAUGCACAAAAUCAGUGAGGACUUUGGUACAACAAAAAAUGUUAAGUUUGUGACCUUCGCUAGAUUGCUCCGGUCACUAGUGUGGAUAAGUAUGUAAAUGGAUAGAGACAAGGAAGCAAACACAAGAUGUAGGUGGUUCACUAAGAUUGGCCACGUCCACAGAGUAAAGGAGUUCUCAUUAAUUGUGAAGGGUUUACACAAGCACAUAGGUUCAAGCUCUCCUUUUGUGAGUACUAGUGAAUGAUUUAGUACAAAUGACAUUAGGAAAUAUUGUGAGAGAAUGAUUUCUAUUUAUAGAAGAAAGUUUCUAGUUUCAUUCUGACAUUGACACGUUUCGUGUUGUGAUUGGCUUCUGAUGUUGACACAUGUCACGCUAUGAUUGGCUUCUAAUGUCGACGCGUGUCGCGUUGUGAUUGGCCUCCUGGUUUGAGGGAAACUCUUAUGCGUCUUUGAUAGUAUAACGUUGACCGAUGCUUAGUAGUUUCGAGAUUGGUCAAGUAUGGUACAAACAGUGCUCCUAUGAGUUCCCAAGUAAGGGAAACUCCUCGAUUGGGGACUUGCAAGAUCCAAUCCAUUAAGUAAUCAUGAAACUUCUAAGUAAUGAAGUGUGGUAUCAUUUUCACUUGCCUUAUCUGUCUUAUAUGUAGAUGUGGCAUCUUCUCUGGAAGUACUUUUCCUCUGUCCAAGGGUGGUAUCUUUAACAGAUGGAGAUGCACAAGGUAAUGUAUCAAUUUGACUUGAAGCUUACUUGUAGUUUCAGGCUUGGUCAAGCGCGAUACAAACCAUGUAGUAGGAGUCCCCCAAGUCGCCGAGCUAGGAGAUUUGCCGAAAGAGGUGACAAACAAGGUAAGCAAUCAGAGUUCCAAGUAAUCAGUCCCAGAUCAGAAGUUUGAUUUUGAGUUCCAGCUGAUUGUUCUCAUUCUCCCUGUCUCGCAGGUAGCAAGAAGGAUAAGAAGAAGAAAAUGAGAAAAUAUGAUAUGAGAUACUUUUGCUUUUGAAUAAGUAACUUUCCACAGGCUUAUUCUUGAACUGGGCUGGAGGGUUUUCUGGUUUCCUCCAGAGUAUGAGGCCGACUCAAGAAUUUGAGGGUCAAAACAAGUCCAUUAAAUCUAGAGUACAUUCAACCCUGAUGAUAUGAGGUAUUUUUGUUGUUGACAAAGUAGUGGAUGUAUCGGCACGUGUUCUGUUACGCUUGUUUCCACAUGCUUCCUUGUAUCCUUCUCACUUACCCUAUAUGUUCCUCAGACAGAUGUGGUAUCUUCUCUGGAAGCAUAAGAUGUUGAAGAUAAGUACUCGAGAGCAAUGUCAAGUAAGUAAUCAGGCAAAGGGUUCCAGGCAGUCAGUUCCUGACUAGAAGCUUGAUUCCAAGUGCUAACUGAUUUCUCUCUUUCUCCUUGUCUUGCAGGUAAGAACAAGGCCAAAUGAAAAGAUAGGGAAAAAGCAUGAGAUAUGAGAUACUCUUGAUUUUAACCCUGAUGAUAUGAGAUACUCUUGCUCUGGUGUGGCUUGUUUGUAGAAGUAUUAUCGGGGGGAAAAGAAGCUGAGUAUUUCGAGAGACUCUGCUGAGAGUGCCCUCUUAGACGUGAAGAAAAGUUGAGCAUUUUUUUUAUUUGCAGGUUUGCCUGGCUAUGGAGGAUGGAUGUUGACAUAUAUAAGAGUCUCCCUAACAACAAGUAGUAGUGUUAUUCCUUUACUCUUCUUGGUCAUAGCAAUGUAGUGGGAGCUGCAAGCUUCACGUGUUUGAACUUUGUCAAAGCACUUUGAAAAAGUGGUAUGUGGUAUCUGGAAAGCUGAUGUUGCGUGUAAAGAUUGUAGACAAGCUUUAUCCAAGGAAAUCUGGCUCUUGAAGUUCGGAAAGCGGUGCCUCUUCGGUUUUCGAACAAGCAAUCAUGUCGGGGAUCUGGCUCUUGAGAUUCAGAUAAUGGUGCAUCUUCGAUUUUUGAGAAAGCAAUCAUGUUGGGAGUCUGACUCUUGAGAUUCGGAUAGCAGUCUCUCUUCGAUUUUUUAGAAAGUAAUCCUGUUAAGAGUCUGGCUCUCGAAAUUCUGAAGGCGGUGCCUCUUCGAUUUUUGAGCACAUAAUCAUGUUGGGAGUCUGGCUCUCGAGAUUCGGAGAGCAGUGCAUCUUCGAUUUUUAAGCUAGCAAUCUUGUUAUGAGUGUUUUCUCGAAUGUGAGUAAAGGUUAGGCAUUUUUUGCCAAUCUGCCUUGCCACGGAGCACGGAGGUUGACACACAUUAUGACUUUCUAGUUAUCAAGCAGUGGUGCUGUUCCCUUACCCUUGUGGGUAAUAGUAGGGUAGCUGGACCUUCAAAAUUUAUGUGUCUAAACUUUGUCAGAGAUCUUUGGCAAAGUUAACUACGGUACCCGAGGAGCUAAUGUUACAUGUGGAAAGUGGUGCCUCUUCGAUUUUUGAAUCAACGGUCCUGUUGCCCUUUCUUUUAUAAGGGCACCAAUUGUGUGCAAGAAGUACAUUCAGAGAGUUAUUGCUUGUAGGAAUUUUCCCCUUACUUCAGAGAUUUAUUGCACCUCAUUUCUCCUUCAUCAUUUCUAAGAAUGUCUAGCCUAUCCGACCAUCGUUUUGACUUAAACUUUGAUGAAGAGGCAACCAUGCCUUCUCAAGACAACAUAUGGCGCCCAUCCUUCUUAUCCCCUACUGGUCCUCUUACCGUUGGGGACUCUGUGAUGAAGAAUGAUAUGACUGCUGCAAUGGUGGCCAGAAACCUUCUCACUCCCAAAGAUAACAGACUACUUUCCAAACGGUAUGAUGAGUUGGAUGUUAAGAAUUCUCUAGCUCUCAAUGUUCAGUGUGCAGGUUCUGUGUCUAAUAUGGCCCAACACCUAUUUGCUCAAACCCGCCAAGUUGAAUCAUUGGCUGCUGAAGUGAUAAGUCUCAAAUGGGAGAUCAGAUGGCUCAAGCAUGAGAAUAAACAGUUCACAGGUUUGCAUAUGACUAUGCUACAAACAUAAAGAGGAAGCUCGACCAGCUGCAGGGAUCUGAUGGUCAGAUUUUACUUGAUCAUCAGAGGUUUGUGGGUUUGUUCCAAAGGCAUUUAUUGCCUUCAUCUUCUGGGGCUGUACCGCGUAAUGAAGCUCCAAAUGAUCAACAUUCGGUGUCUCCUUCUUCUGGGGUUCUGCCUAGUAUUGAGACUCCGAAUAAUCACCCUUUGGUGCCUCCUCUUUCUGAGGCUUUGUCGACUACUGAAACUUUUCCUGAGCAACCUUUGUGAAGGCUCCCUCUUAUUUAUUUAUUUUGAUUCAUGUAUAUGUACAUAUUUGUAACUUAUCAGAGAUAUCAAUAAAUAAACUUUGCUUUAUUUCAACGUAUUGUGUUAAAUACACCAAGGUCUUUCUUCACCAAGUUCUUUGAAUUUUUCCUUUUGUUGAAGCUUGUAUGUUGAAGCUUUGUGAGUGAAGCAUGUAGGUUGAGGUAGUGCUCCCUUAAUUUCCCGAGUAAGGAAAACUUCUCGAUUGAAGACUUGAAAAAAUCUAAGUCAUUGAGUGCUUGUGAGACUUCCGAGUAUCAAGGUGUAGUAGCAUAUGGUAGGAGUCCCCCAAGUCUCCGGUCGAGGGAGUUGACGAAGGAGGUGUCUUGCUAAUAGCCAAGUUUCCAAAGUAAAAAAAAUUUCACUAUUUUCCUUUCUAACUGGUAGCCCAAAACUCCUCAUUCAUAUAUAUUUGUUAUAAAAGUUGUUAGGCCUAAAGAAGAAGAGGCCUAAGCAAUUUUUUUUUUUUUUAAUUUUCGAAUUUCUGAAUUUUCGGAAGCUUUUGUUUUUUUUUUUUUUUGUGGGUGAAGCUUUUGUGGUAGGGGAAGCUUUUGUGAGGGAAGCUUUUGUGGGUGAAGCUUUUGUGGUGGGGGUAGCUUUUGUGGUGGGUGAAGCUUUUGUGGGUGAAGCUUUUGUGGUGGGUGAAGCUUUUAUGGGUGAAGCUUUUGUUGGUGAAGCUUUUAUGGGUAAAGCUUUUGUAGGUAAAGCUAUUGUGGGUGAAGCUUUUGUAGGUGAAGCUUUUGUGGUGGGUGAAAGCUUUUGUGGGUGAAGCUUUUGUGGUGGGUGAAGCUUUUGUGGGUGAAGCUUUUAUAGGUGAAGCUAUUGUGGGUGAAGUUUUUGUGGGUGAAGCUUUUGUAGGUGAAGCUUUGGAGUUGAAGCUUUGUAGGUGAAGCUUUGGAGUUGAAGCUUUUAUUGGGUACCAUGAAUUGAUUUUGCUUCACACUAUCUUGAUCAAGAUAGUGUGAAGUUUUUGAGAAUUUGUAGUUGUCCUCCAUUGAUAAAGCUUUUGUUGGUGAAGCUUUUGUGGUGAAGCUUUGUUGGGUACCAUGAAUUCAUUUUGCUUCACACUCUCUUGAUCAAGAUAGUGUGAAGCUUUUGAGAAUUUGUAGUUGUCCUCCAUUAAUGAAGCUUUUGUUGUUGAAGCUUUUAUGGUGAAACUUUGUUGAAUUUCCCAAUGUCCUUUCUUCUUUUUUUGGGAAAAUUAGAAAUUUGAAAAUGUGGGAGAUACAACACAUACAAAUUUUGCUUCCACACUGUUGAGCAAGAGAUUGUGAUGCAAGCCACACCUUGUAGUAGUCGAAGGUUUGGAUGAACCAUAUAAAUUGAAUUUGCUUCAAACAGUCCUGAUCAAGAGUGUGUGAAGCUUUCUACGAGUUGUAAUUGCCCUUCAUUGAUGAAGCUUUUGUUGGCACCAUAAAUUGGUUUUGUUUCACACUUUCUUGAUCAAGAGUGUGUGAAGCUUUUGAGAAUUGUGGUUCAACUCCUUUGAUGAUGCUUUUAUUGGCACCAUAAAUUGGUUUUGCUUCACACUAUCUUGAUCAAGAGUGUGUGAAGCUUUUGAGAAUUGCGGUUGUCCUCUAUUGAUGAAGCUCUUGGUGGCACCAUAAUUGGUUUUGCUUCACACUAUCUUGAUCAAGAGUGUGUGAAGCUUUUGAGAAUUGUGGUUGCCCUCCUUUGAUGAAGCUCUUGUUGGCACCAUAAAUUGGUUUUGCUUCACACUGUCUUGAUCAAGAGUGUGUGAAGCUUUUGAGAAUUAUGGUUGCCCUCCAUUGAUGAAGCUCUUGUUGGCACCAUAAAUUGGUUUUGCUUCACACUGUCUUGAUCAAGAGUGUGUGAAGUUUUUGAGAAUUGUGGUUACCUUCCAUUGAUGAAGCUCUUGUUGGCACCAUAAAUUGGUUUUACUUCAAACUGUCUUGAUCAAUAAUGUGUGAAGCUUUUGAGAAUUGUGGUUGAACUCCAUUGAUGAAGCUCUUGUUGGCACCAUAAAUUGGUUUUACUUCACACUGUCUUGAUCAAGAGUGUGUGAAGCUUUUGAGAAUUGUGGUUAAACUCCUUUGAUGAAGCUCUUGUUGGCACCAUAAAUUGAUUUUGCUUCACACUAUCUUGAUCAAUAAUGUGUGAAGCUUUCUACGAGUUGUAGUGUUUAUAUUGUUACAGAGGGGAAAUGUCUGAAGCAGAUGCAAGAAGGCUGAAUAGCUUGAUCUUCGUAUGCCAUGCACUAAAGAUGUUGUUGGCUUGCAAUAAAACUUUGUUGGUGACUAUAACUCUUAUUGGGCAUAAAUGCUCCUUUAGUUGAGUUGUCAAGCUUGAGGGUUUUUGAUUAUUUAUGAAUGCUACGAGUUCACAUGUACAAGUUAUACCAUUCGUCUUCUGGUAGGUGGAAUGAAUGGUGAGUUACUUUCAUCACUUGGUUGGUGGUAUGAAUGUGAGUUCCUUCAUCACCUUUCAUCACAUUUCAUCACCUGGUUGGUGGCACGAGGAUGAGUUCCUUAUUCACCUGGUUGGUGACAUGAAGAUAAGUUCAUUCUUCAACUGGUUGGUAGCAUGAAUGGCAAGUUGCCAAAUGAUAUUAGAGUACGGGUUGUACAUUUGAUCACAUGAUUGGUGGCAUGAAGGAGAGUACGGGUUGUACAUUUCAUCACCUGAUUUGUGGCAUGAAUGGCAAGUUGCCAAAUGAUAUUAGAGUACGGGUUGUACAUUUCAUCACCUGGUUGGUGGCAUGAAGGAGAGUACGGGUUGUACAUUUCAUCACCUGGUUGGUGGCAUGAAGAUGAGUUUCUUCUUCACCUGGUUGGUGGCAUGAGUGGCAAGUUGCCAAAUGAUAUUACCGUACGGGUUGUAGAUUUCAUCACCUGGUUGGUGGCAUGAAGGAGAGUAGGGGUUGUACAUUUCAUCACCUGAUUGGUGGCAUAAAGAUGAGUGUCUUCUUUACAUUUCAUCACCUGGUUGGUGAGAAUAAAGGCAAUGUGUCUAGGCAUAUUGUAGCAAGUGUCGAAUGACACAAAGUAUGUUGAACCCUUUCAAAGCACAGUUGGCUUAUGUAUGAAUGUGUUAGAAUAUAUGAUUGAACGAAUAUAUUGUGAAGCUGUUCGUUUAUUUGUAUAGUCUUGUUGACAUAUACUUAGACUUUGUUUCAUGUUGGAAGCAUUCAUGUUGAAGCUUUGAACCCAAGUGUUUCAUUGCUAGGAAUGUAAAAGGAUUAGGACCAAGUUGUCUAAACCACCUCUUUAUUGAAUUCAUGUCCAAUAAUCUUCAUUACAUAGGAUGCCGAACGGCUGAAGUUUAACACUUGUACAAUGUGAGUUUACUUGUAAUAGUACUUCAAGUGAUCAGCGUUCCAUGGAUGGCCAAGGGUCUUGCCAUCAGAGCUUCUAAGCUUGUAGGAGCCAGGGCAACUGAUGCCAACAACUUCAAACGAUCCAUCCUAGUUUGGACUAAGUGUUCCUUCACUCGGGAUUCUGUCGCAGAGUAAUCUUUUCUUCAAUACCCAGUCCCCCACUUUGAAAAAACGAGGUUUGACCCUUGAGUCAUAGUAGUUGGAGAUGCGUUGCUUGUAGGCGACAUUCCUCAAGUAAGCCUGGUUUCUAUGUUCCUCGACUAGAUCUAAGUUUAGGGUAAGUUGUUUGUCAUUUUCGCUUUGCACGUAGUUCUGGAUUCGGAACGUUGCUUGCUCAAGCUCAACUGGGACAACUGCCUCUGUACCAAAAGCAAGUGAGAAUGGGGUUUCUCUUGUUGAUGUCCGAUAUGAAGUGCGGUAUGACCAAAGAACUUGGGGUACAAAUUCUGGCCAACAACCUUUAGCCUUGUCCAAGCUGGUUUUCAAAGUUCGCUUGAUUAUUUUGUUGAUGGCUUCAACUUGUCCAUUAGACUGGGGAUGAGCUGGGGAGGCAAAACAUAAGUUGAUGUUGAACUUAGAGUUGGUCAUUAAUGAUCAAGUAACGGGUAGCCUUGUAUUGAAUCUGCUUAGCUUGGACUUUGUCAUUUGGAAGGGUGCCAUGAGUAAGGAAUCUAUAAAUCGGGGCAAUCCAAAUAUCCCCUAGUUGUAAGUUGCACACUUUCGCAUCCAUGGUGCUUGGUGCUGCCAACAAUUCGACUUGAAUUUUUCUCCCAAUCUUGUCUUCGAUAGCUAAGGCGAGGCGAGCCAAAGUAUUUGCAUGACUGUUUACCGCACGAGGAAUUUGGGUGAUCUGGUAGUGGUAAUGCUUGAGCAACAAUUGCGUUUGUGCCAGAUAUGCUGCCAUGGAGCUAUCUUUAGCAUCAAAGUUGUUGGUGACCUGGUUAACCAUCAAUUAGGAGUCACUGAAGAUAUCAAUUCGUUUAACCCCAAGGUGUUUGGCCAAACGUAAGCCUGCUAGGAGGGCUUUAUAUUCGGCCUCAUUGUUUGACGCCUUGAAUUUGAAACGAAAAGCAUACUCCAUUGCCACUUUGUUAUGGGUCAUAAGGACUAGUCCUGCUCCACAACCCUGUUGGUUGGACGAGCCAUCAACAUAUAGACUCCAUGCUAGUGUUGUUGGUUCUAUUUUCUAAGCUACUGAUGGUAAUGAAACCACUUCUUUAGGCAUAGAAACAAUUUCAACAGGAUAUGUGAAGUCGGCGAUGAAGUCUGCCACUGCUUGGCCCUUCUCAGCUGGCUUUGGUUGGUAGGAGAUGUCAAACUCACCUAAUGUUAUCGCCCAUUUGAUCAUUCGUCCAGAAGUGUUAGGACUUUGGAGUAUCUGUCGAAGAUGAUGAUUGGUAGCAUGAUGAUUGAGUGUGCUUGGAAGUAAGGCGAAGUUUUCGAGCAGACAUGACCAAUGCUAGAGCCAAUUUCUCAAUGUUGGAGUAUCGUGUCUUCGCAUCUUGUAAGGCCUUGCUAGAAUAGUAGACAUGUCGUUCGACAUUACCAUCAUUUAAAAUGAGAACGGAACUUACUGCUGAAGCCGAUACUGAUAGAUAAAUAAUGAGAGUGUCACCAACCUCAGGUUUGGAAAGCAAAUGGGCUUUACUCAUGUAGUCUUUGAGGUUCUUAAAUGCCUCAGCACAUUCAUCAGUCCAUGUAAUAUACUUCUUACUUCCCUUAAGUACUUUGAAGAAAUGAGCACAUCUGUCUGUAGCCUUAGAGAUGAACCUAGUUAAGGCUGCCACCUUGCCAGUAAGGCUCUGGAUGUCUUUUGAAGUUAUCGGUUCCUUCAUGUCGAGGAUUGCUUUGAUCUUCUCGGGAUUAGCCUUAAUGCUUCAUUGGCUUAUCAUGAAGCCUAAGAAUUUGCCAGAGCCAACGCCGAAGGCACAUUUGUUGGGGUUCAACCUCAUUUGAUACCUCUUCAGAAUGGUGAAAGUUUCAGAUAGGUUGGUGAUGUGUUGGUCAGCAUGUUUGCUCUUGACUAGCAUAUUAUCAACGUAAACUUCCAUGCUCUUCCCAAUCUGUUUUGCGAACAUUGAAUAAACCAGUCUCUGAUAAGUCGCUCCUGCAUUCUUUAGGCUGAAGGGCAUGACUUUAUAGCAAUAUAGUCCCCUAUCAGUAGUAAAGGCUGUGUGUUCUUGGUCCAAAGGGUUCAUGAGGAUUUGGUUGUAUCCUGAGUAAGCAUCCAUGAAGCUCAGGAGUUCACAUUCUACCGUAGAGUCUAUAAGUCUGUCUAUGAGAGGAAGAGGAAAGCUAUCAUUCGAGCAUCCUUUAUUUAGAUCGGUGUAAUCGACACACAUUCUCCACAAGACCUUUUGGAGCAGGAGACUUUCCUUGAUCGGAUUCUUCUUAACAAGGACAACAUUUGCUACCCACGUUGGAUAAUUGACUUCGCGAACGAAGCAUAUGCCUUUGAGUUUUUCAACUUCUACCUUCAUUGCCUCGUACCGUUCAGCGUCAUAAGAUCUUCGCUUCUGUCUCACUGGCUUGGUAUUGGGGUCAAUACUUAAGCAAUGACAGAUGAUAUCGGGAGAGAUGCCUGGCAUGUCCUCAUAUGACCAGGCGAAGACCUCAGUGUUCUCUUGCAAAAGAGAGAUCAAUGCCAACCGAAUUGAUGGUGACAAGGUGGUGCCAAUCUUCACCAAACGAUCUAGAUAAUCUUUUGAUAUAAAGACCUUCUCUAACUCUUCAGCGGGUUGUGCUUGCUGGGUGAAAGAGUCAUAUCGAUGAUCGUUUUGACUGUUGCCACCAUGAAGAUCCAAGUUGGCUUCGUCUGGGCUGGUCUUUAUGACUUGGUCAUGUAUAGAAAGGGUUUCCUUGGGCACAGGCAAAUGUUGUUGCUUGACCGAAGUGUUGUAACAUGAUCGUGCACUAAGUUGAUCUCCUCUGAUGUAACCAUUGCCAUAAGGGGUUGGAAAUUUCAUCAACAACAUAUGUGUGGAUACCAUGGCCUUGAGAUCAUUGAUACCUGUGCGUCCGAAGAUGACAUUGUAUGCCGUUAGGCAAUCAACCACCAGGAAGUUAGUGGUAAUGGUAGCUGUGUAAGGGCAUGUACCAAUGGUGAAAGGUAAGUGUAUGCUCCCCAAAGGUUGCACGAUAUCACCAGAGAAGCUUAUCAGAGGGGAAAUUGAGCGAUCGAGCAAGUGUUCAGCUAUAUUAAGUGCCCUGAAAGCUUCAGUAAACAUGAUAUUGACCAAAGCCCCCGUGUCUACCAGAAUUCGUCGUACUUCAAAGUUGGCUAUGUGAGCUUCCACGAUCAGUGGGUCGUUGUGAGGGUAAAUUAUACCUGUUUCUUCCUCAGGGUAGAAACAUAUUGGAUCCCAAUUAGGCUUUUGAUACUUACCUCCCCUGAUGUCUUCUACAUGAAACACUUGGUGACCAGACCUUAAAGCUCGUUCACUAUUUUUCAUGGCCCUGUUGGAAGAUUUAGUUAUGGGUGUGCCACCAUUUAUGGAAUAUAUCAAAUUCACCUAGCGUUGGUUACGGUUACCCCUUGGAGGGUGAAGGAGGAAUUGAUCAAUUUUUCCUUCACGUGCCAAUGCUUCAAUAUGAUCACGGAAGGUGAUACACUUCUCGCCAUCAUGGCCGUUAUACUCAUGGUAGUAGCAAAACAUGCCCGUGUUCUUCGUGGGCUUGUAAUCCGAGUGCCUUGGCUUUAACUUCGGUAUCAAGUGUGCUAUGCUAAGGUAAAUGGCCACACAUGUGGCGUUCAAAGGUGUGUAUGCCUCAUACCUCGAGGUAGGGGCUAUCCUGACACGUGCUUGACCCAUUGUGUUGACUGCCUGGGGUUGAGAUUAUCAUGGCGAUACCCUUGGUUAUCGGGGUAAUGUCUCGUACUCUUUUUACUAAAAUGAGACUGAUGAGGAUGGAAAUCUUUCCUUUUACCAUGAGAUUGAUAUGUCUAUUGACUUGACAAAGUAUUAAGUAAGGCAGGGGGAGGCACCGCUGCCAUUUGGAAGGUCGAGGUCUUCUCAUUUGGUUGGAUCUGGCUUCCAUUCCCUACUUUCUGAUAAGGGGUGGCUGUAGGGGGUUUCCCUUGAUAUGUCCUUACCUCAGCGGAGGCAUGGUUGUAAGCCUAUGCCAUCACCUCAGAGUAAGUCUUCCAAGUGUUGGCAUUGAUCAUAUACUUGAAGAAACAGUCACGUAGGCCUGCCGUAAAGGCUUUGAGGGCAGUCUUGUCAUCUGCCUCGGCACAACCGGAAUACUCAUGGCUGAAGCGGCCAGCAUACAUACGUAAUGACUCUUCUGGCUUCUGGUGAAUAGUGUACAAGUUAUCUGCAGAGUGCAAGCGAUCGGUCUGAAUGGUGGCUGCAGGCCACGGGGUGCAAGAAAUCCCCCAGCUGCAGCUAGGUUUUCGUUUGGGCCGAAAGAGGGUGCACGGGACAAGGCCCAGCAGGAGCUGGCCUUGUAGGUGAUGCACAUGAGGACAAAAAUUCAGCCUUGUGGGCUGGCAUGUGGGUUUGAGUGAAGGCCCAGCCUAAAAAAGGCUGGUGUCAUAGCUGCAGGCCAAUGCAGCAGUAUGGGCAUGGGACUUCAGGCCCUGCCGAGGUGAGUGCCAGGCCGAGGCCUGGUGGCUGCUUCCACAGUGAUAAUGCGGUGGUAUGCCACACCAUGUCCAAUCCCCCCUUCUUUUUUUUUUUCAAAAUCCUUUAGGGUUUAGGAAAAACCCUAAAUAUGCUUCUAAUUUAUUUUAUAUAAAUUGACUCACAAAUUCCACAUAACAAUUUAAUUGUGCGAUACAUGAAACAAAUAUAUAUAUUGCCAAAUAUAUUAACAUAUACAAUAUAUAUAUAUAUAUAUAUAUAUAUAUGAAUCGAAAGAAAAAUAUAAACAUAGAGGGGUUCAUGCAUCAUGGGGAAUGUUUUCAUGCUUCGUGGACAUUUCAAAUAUCUUCUUUAUUUUAAGCGUACCUGAUAAGCAGAAAACGAAUAAGCUUUUGAAUUUGGUGGAUGAUAGCCUCCUCCAACGAUGUGUCAAUUCCUUAACUUCUGGCAAGAGCGUGCUAAUAACGUAUUGUUGGCCUAUUUGAUUGAACGAUCUAGGGUUUAGAGAAAGAAAGAGGGGGCGGACCACUAUAGAGAGAAGAGAGAUUGAUUUAAUUGUGAGGUGUGUUUGAUUCACCCCAUUGUUCCUUUAUUUAUAGUAGUAGGAAGGAUAAAACCUUUCCCUUUAUGAUUACAACAUUUAAUAGGUAAUCUAGUCCUAAUAGGAAUAUAAGAUACUUUUCCAGAUUCCCUAGGAUUUACACAAUUACAUUCCUAUUCUAAAUAUGACUGCAACAGUAAUCAAUUGUUGUUUGAUUUUCUUUGUCAUCUUUUAUAUAAGAAAAUACGAAUAUUUGGGCCUGGGUUCUAUAAACCCCACUUCUCUCUCGCUGACUCACAGCCCAGCCGAUCAAAAUAAUAAUUUUUGUUUUUACUUAAAGCUCCAUAUUUUUAUGGUCGUUCUCUAAACUUUCACACAAAGCAUCUGAAGCUACCCACUAUCAUUAUAUUCGUCUUUUAUAUAUUGCCUUUUUACAGUUAUUAUAAACCUAAAGUUCAUAAUCCGAACCUAAAGUUUCGGAAAAGUUUCUUAACACACACCACUCAUGUUGAGAUCCAAAAUUCUCCAUGAUUAAUCAGUUUAAACCAAACCAUGUCUUAGAACCCGAAUGUUUUAACUUUGGUGCUCAUGGAGAUUUUAUUUCCCACAGCACCAAUCACAAUAUUGUUUCCUCCAUUCAGCGAAUUGUCAAACUGCAUUUCACUGACUUGGACGUUUUGAUUAAAAACUGUUUUAUGUGAACACCAAAUGUGACACUCUGCUUGAUUACGAAAAGCUGCGAAACCAUUAAUUGUAGCCAACUAUGGUGUGGAAGAGCUCAAUAAGCCUCCGCAUAAUAUUCAUUCGAAGACUUUUGCUUAAAGCAUUACACAUUGAAGUACCUCACUAAUAAGGAUUUCCUGGCCCUUUGACUCACUUUUACGAACCGUUCCAAUCAUGCAAAGAUGAUAUCUUGCUUGAAGCAAGACAUUAUUAAAAUCUUUAUGUCCAUGAAUAGGUAAAAUUUUAAAGUUUAUAUCCGAUCGAAUUUUAACUGGAGAAGAUUUUUUCUCGUCCUUCCAUGUCUAACUUGCUCUUGCAGCAGCAUUGUAGAAAGCAAAAGUUUCCAAAUUCUCGGAUCUGUUUACUACCACAAAUGUGAGAGAAAGGUACCCAAUGAUUCCGCUAGGAUGCACCAAAUGGUAAAGAUUCAAUUUCUCCUAGAGUCUACCGAAUGGUUCUACCCUGCUUUGGCAAGGAUGCACCAAAAACAUACUCUGCUUUCGAGCUUGUUUCCCAACAUAUGGUAGAAUCAGGCCUGUUAAGGGAUGCAAUCACAAUCAAAAGCGUGAUCCUUAGCACCUAAGACCUAAAACUUCAAGAAUAAGGGACAAUCUUCCCAAAACCCUGCAGAAUUUACUUCCACUCUGACGGAAUAUAUCAUUGGUUAUACACUUGUCCGUACUCCUACCAAUGUUGUUGAGGAGUCUCAUUCCCGUAGUCAAUCCAUGAGACUAAUUUUGCUCCACCUAACACAUUUUGAAGAGCAAAAUUUUGACAUGGAAGGCCACAUUGGCCAAACUCCCUAGUAGAUUUGGUUUACUUGUUAACAAUAUCAUAUGUUCCUGGAUUUACGUUUGGUGUUUGGAUAACAUUAUUAUUCUCGAAUACGAGUUAAUUGAUGAAAGUUAAUAUAUGUGACGAUUUCAAUUAAGUGAUGCUUAGGUAUCUUUUGUGGGGAAGUUAGCUAUGUGGUUCUAUAUGCUAACUUCAUACCUAAUCAUCCACUGACAUCCCUUUUAGACUUAUCCAACCUGAUUGUGGGGCAUGGCACUGCCUUAUGUUGUCAAUGAUACAAAUGUUACCUAGUGUUCUAAAAAACAGCAUAGGCAAUGGAGUUAACCCUAAACAUUUCAUACAAAUUCUCUUGAAGAAAUGUUGGUGUACACGUUUAUAUAAGUAAAUAGUAUUUUAGAAGAAGGAUAAUCAAGUGGUCAUUAAAUAUGAGAUAUAUCCCGAAAAGUAGUCAACAAUAUGAAACACACAUCAAUUAAAGAGGUUUUAUUUUUUUUUAUUUUUUUUUUGACAAGAAACGAUAGCGUAGUAUUUCAUUAAUCAACACAAACAAUUACAAGGGUGUCAUUGGGUACAUAACUCCAGUGACAAAUAAAUUGAUCUAGUGUGAAUUUGCAUAGACAGGCAAAUAAGAGUAAACUAGUAGACAACCACAAGCACAAACACACAAUCACCAAGUGCACAAGUGCUACCAGUACAGAUUUGUCAUAAUAAAUGAUAAUCGCAACAGAGAAAUACAGGCAACCACAAUGGUCAUCACUGAAUAGCGAGGCCACAUAAAGUCAUCGCGUUAGAGUGAGACCACACCAAGCCAUAGUUGACAGACGAGACUACAUCACGUAUCGCACAAAGGUGAAGACCAAUCUAGCCAAAACAUCAGCGCCACCUUGGUCCACAUAAGGCGAGUGGAACACAACUAGACUACACCGAGAAGGGAUAUGUUGGUCAACUCAUCACAGUAGGGGAUAAUGCACUUAGACCCAGGCCAUCUACAAAUACACCGAACAAUGGGGUACCAACAUCCACACAUCGAAAACCAUAAGAGCAAGCGUAACAGACAGCGAAGCCGUCAGGUCCAAGACACACAAGCCAAGUCACAUCGAGAUGUACAAGUCGAGCCACCAGAUCAAGCUGAGCCGCACAAACGAGCCGCAAAAGUCGAGCCGCCAAAUCUUUGUGCACAAGUUAGUGCAUCCACCCAAACCAGGCAAGGAAGGUGACACCACCAUGGAAUCAAGUUGACGAAGGUGGAUCCAACCCAUCUGCAACAUAAAUCCAAACCCCACACCAAGAAAACGAACGCCAAAUCAAAGAAAAUCUUGAAAGGGCAUGGCCCGAGCCAGGGUAUAAGGCAUAAAUCCAUGGAAAUCUGCACCCAAAAUGAUGGGAGAGAAGCACGGGAGGUGAGAGGAGGUAGGUAAUGGCCGGGAAGGAGUGCUCGGCGUGAGGUGGGGAGGGGAAGUCGCGUAUGGCUAGGGGGAGAAGGCUGGGAUGGGGAAGAGGGGGAAGAGGAAGGGAGGAAGGGCUAGGAGAAGGAAGGGAGAGGCUGCCACUGGCCCCCAGCCAUAGCCAGAGGCUGGCGACGAUGGAGGUAGACACCUAGGGUUUGAUUGGGAGAGAGGUUAUAAAUAUGUGAUUGGUAAGCCUUUC
RNAcentral lists this long non-coding RNA (41520 nucleotides) under Malus domestica (apple). RNAcentral describes it as "long non-coding RNA (MDOM_LNC013706)". The record is from RNAcentral. Lineage: Eukaryota; Viridiplantae; Streptophyta; Magnoliopsida; Rosales; Rosaceae.